This is a long non-coding RNA of Zea mays, 2873 nucleotides long. RefSeq lists it as uncharacterized. The transcript has 2 exons. The record is from RefSeq and is a predicted model, not a curated record. Lineage: Eukaryota; Viridiplantae; Streptophyta; Magnoliopsida; Poales; Poaceae.
GCACCCCGGCUUUGCCUUGGUGAAGAAAAGUCGCUGCGUUCCUCUUGCCUGAUGAAAUCCUCUUCCCGUCUAGAUCUGAGCCUCCGCGUGGCUUCCGGAUCAGAUGGUUGGUCCGAUCGAACAACGGUGAGUCUUGCUCUGUUACUUGAUUGUUCGAAACGCAUGGUUUUGUUUUGUGAUGAUGUGCAGGUUCCGAUCUGUUUCGUUUGAUUGAUGAGUUGACGACGCAUCGGCUCGAAGCGAGACGAGGCUGCAUGGUUUUUGUGCCUGGAGGUUUCUGAUCCGCGUGGUUAAGGAAACUGGGUGCUACAAUUUGUUGCUACAAGUGCCCGAUCCUUCGAAUUGAUAUCUGCCGACCUUCAGAGUUGGGACGUUCCGGGGGAUCUGGAUCUUGGCGGACUGGACAAAUUGGGAGGCGUCGACGGGCUUCUAAAGCGUGGCUGGACAAUUGUGAGAUGUGACAUCUUGAAGGCCUUUGCCAUGUUGGGUGCGCUCGCAUGGCAGGCAUCAUAAUAAAGAUGUUGGUUUUGUGUGCUGGGUGGGAGAUCGCACGGGGAAUUGUUUUUUCAUCCCUGGGUUCUCCCGCCCUUUGUGUCCCCGUGCCCUGCUUCGUGUUGUUUGGCUUCUCGUUCUACGCUUCAUCACCGGUGCUGCUGCAAAUUGAACGGAUCUUCUCGUCUCGAGGCGUGCUGCAAAUUGAACGGGGCUACAUCGCAACGCAACACAACACGCAAGGUACAAAUCGGAUCUAAACAUUUUCAAUUUACAGCAAAGUUAGCAAGUUACUGAAAUCACCAUCAAUCGUUCAAAACUUCGCGCACCACAAACUUAUAUACGCCUAUGCUACGUCAUCCAUAUGCACUUCAUUCACCCAACGCUUAUCCCGUAAGGCUAUAAAGCACAUGCGAAAGGCGUUCAGUCACUCUACUCUGUAAGGCGUUCUUCACCCAACGCUUCUCGCACGGGGGUCUUCUAUUGACCAUUGAAGAUAAACUUUUGAAUAUAUGAAUCAGCUGUGUAUUAUUUGUUGUAGCUUCAAAUGCGAGACCUAUGGUUGCAGUCAUUUUUAUUGUAGUUAGUUUAUAUGAUACAUCGUCGUCACCGCAUGAGAUCUACUGCUGAGCCAUAUGAAGACCUGCUGCCUCAUCAUGGUGUUUGUAUAUGAAGAUCAACUGCAGUGCCUACACGCUGGACGGAGUAUUUAUAUGAUGUGAAGGUCAACUGUUCGGCAUCGUCGGUAUGAAAUGGCUAUGGCCUUCAAAGCUUCCUUGGUCACUGGACAGGGAAGAAAUUUUCUGCUCAAGCUAAAAAUUAGAUACAAGCUUGUUCAACUUGCACUAUAGUUCAUUUGAGUACUUACCUGUUAUUGAUCUCUAUUGAGUUGAAGCUAGGUUUCAAGUAUCUCCUAAGGUUUCGUAUAGGUGAAAACCAGUGAUUCUCUCUUUUUUUUUAGCACUACAAUCUGUGACGUUUCAUGCCCUUAGUUUGAGCUUUCUCCUUAGUGAGUUUAUUAAUUUUUCUUCUUUUCCAAAUCAAAAGAUGUUUUGACUUUCCAUAUUUUGCUAUGCAUUUAGUUAAAUCUACACUGUAGAUAAACAAAUGUUUGUGGAUAAGUAAAAAUGCCUUAUUUGGUCGUCAUGGUAAAUGGCUGCGGUGGACACAUGAGCAGUCUCUGGCAGCUGAUGUGUCAGUGAUCUUGCUGUUUCAUUGUUGGUAUAUAUUACUGUCGGAUUGUUACUAUUGAGGAGCCAUUUUUUGCAAAAAAAUUUUGGAGGCUUCACUACAUCCAUUAUCAAUAACUGGAUUUUGCUCUACGAAGGAUGGAUCGACCUAUCUCAAUAUAGCUUGGCUUCAAUGGGCUAUCCCUCGGGAGCUCCUUCGCAGGUCUCAAUGAUGACAAAGCUCUCAUAGCUUCGAAAAUGGGCACAAUAUCCUAAAGUGCCUCUGAAGAAGUAGGAGUGAUCAACUUAGCAGUCGAUCGGAUCCUCGCCAUCUAAGGAAAUUACUCCCGAAGAUGUUAUGUCGAAACUACUUCCGAAGUGGUGUUAGAUGCAGAGUUUCGGAGUCACAGAAAAUUUUGGCAGCAAGUGGUUGGGGGCAGUAAAUGUGACUCGCUCCCACUCGCUCUAUCACUUUUAUACUGAUAAGUGGGCGCGAAGAGGUGCGAGUCAAGUCUGCGUGAGCAGGCAAUGUCGCCUUCCCCUUCUUCUCAUCUGGUGGACCGCGAGUCUAACUCUCUUUCUACCGAAUUGUUUAUUUCGCCUUCUCCAUAACGAGCUUCGAGAAGGUGUUUUCGGGACUUCGGCGCGAGGCCUCCCAAUAAUGAUUUUGGUGAUCUAAGCUCAUUAUGAAGAAUCGAACUCAUUCCACAAGUGGUCUUGCCAAAGGUCCUCAAAACAUCUUUACUUCGCUGUAAGCAAAUGUGCUUCAGGCAUAUAGCAAAGGAUGGACAAAGAUGGCUUUUGGCCGAAGCAGCGUGUAAAGAAGCUUCGUCUAUACACGUGUGCAACGAAGGUGCGAGCCAAGGUCGCUAGCCUUGGCUUGGAGAAAGCUUCGAGCGCGAAAAGAGACGAAGGGGAAUAAGUCCAAGACUUGUGCAAUAAAAUAGAAAAGAAAAAGACAAUGAUGCCCCUGUUAUAUUUGUAAAUCAUGUGUAUGAACUAUGUAUGCAUGUUUAUAAUUUCAUACGAAGUUGUAUAACUUUCCUAUAAAUAGGUGGAGAGUGCCAUGCAUAAAACACCUUAUGUAGGCCUAUAGCUUCGUCCAGCUUGACAUUUGAAGUAUCUUCGAGGUUUCUUAUGCACAAAAAAGUUGAAGGUAUGUUUGUAAACUUGUUUAACAUGAGGAAAGAUAUAAUAAAUAAUGUUAAGACA